Molecule: long non-coding RNA, 216 nt
Filed under: Elaeis guineensis (African oil palm)
Lineage: Eukaryota; Viridiplantae; Streptophyta; Magnoliopsida; Arecales; Arecaceae
Description: long non-coding RNA (EGUI_LNC079246)
Source: RNAcentral
CCCCCUAAAAUUCAAGAUAUCUGUGGCACAAAACUUUAGAGGCAGCCGACACCGGAACUAGGAUUGAAUACUGAGUCAAGUAUUAGGAGGUAGCACAAGCGGAACUAGGAGAAUACUCUUCUCCAACUAGAAAUCCACCAUAGAGAUCGGAGUAAAAAGAUAACAAGGAGAACUCUUUCCCCAAAGCCAAAGGCUGAAAUCUAAUUCAAAAUAUCA